Molecule: long non-coding RNA, 826 nt
Filed under: Homo sapiens (human)
Lineage: Eukaryota; Metazoa; Chordata; Mammalia; Primates; Hominidae
Description: long intergenic non-protein coding RNA 511
Source: RNAcentral
GGCGCCCACCGUAAGCCUCCCGGGCCUUGUGAACCUGCAAACCCAAGUCUGAGAGACGAUCCGCCUUCAGCGCUUUCCAGCUUGGCAGAGAGGCUUUCCCGGCGGGGAUCUUUGGUUGGCGCUGGCGAUGCGCGGGGAAGAAAGGCGAGGAGCGGCGUCCAGGCUGGGUGAUGUCCCAGCACGAGUAGGCGGGAUGCGCUCGCUUGGUCCUCCGGGCGCCCGGUCCCUGCCCGCGUCGCGCGCCCACCCCUGGGGACGAGAAGGCGGCCGCCUGAGGACCCCCGCCCGCGACCUCCGCGAGUCUGGAGCGCAGAGGACAGGGUCUGGCUGCUCUUUGGCCUUGGAUGGAAAGUGGGGAAUUGGGUGGGGGGCUGCGGACCCCUUAACGUGGAUUACUUGGUGUGUAUCAGCUGGGCUCAGAAGACCCACGACCUCUUCUCCAUCCGUGGAUUGAUUUGUUCUGCUUAACAGCUGGGUCGCCAAGCUGGAGACCCAUGCAGGAGACCUCUCCAGGUACACAUAUUUCCUGCUACUGAAUGGCUUAGACUGGGAUUUGCAAGGAACUACGAAGUCCAAGACCUUUGCCUUUCUUUUAGAAGAAGGCACCAGCUGGUUCUCCAAUGUUGAAGGUCUUCUCCAGAGAUGAACUCUGAAAGCCACAUGUUGAGAUGGCCCCAUUACAGGAUGGAGAGCACCUGAACCCCCAAGUUAUGGACUAGAAGAAGACAGUUGCCCUGGAAAAUCAUCUGACCCACAUUGGACUUUAUGUGAGGGGGAAAUAAACCUUUAUUAUGUUAAGCUACACAAUAAUAAAUAACAACAAUAA